Molecule: long non-coding RNA, 1465 nt
Organism: Daphnia pulex (common water flea)
Lineage: Eukaryota; Metazoa; Arthropoda; Branchiopoda; Diplostraca; Daphniidae
Exons: 4
Source: RefSeq, a predicted model, not a curated record
AUCAGUCGAGUGAGCAUCUCCGACACGGAAACAACUGCAGCGCACUCUCCAUCUGCGUUCUUCACCGUAUUGCCAGUUCGCAACCAUGGUUAACUAAGUCGUCGUAUGCUGUUGGGUGUUGUAUCGUUGAUUGGUGGUUCGACCAUUGGUGUACAGAUGUCUCCUGGGGUAUGGCGGAAGCCAAACCACAACGCUGCCGCCUUACUACACAACAACAACAUACGCAACAACCGGUUCCUACACCACCAAGGCUCCAGAGUAUUACACCACAAUUGAUGAUGCCCCGAGCUGCUACACCGAAUCCCGAAGUAUAACUCUGCCCCGAGUUACAUCACCAGAGAGCUGGAUUACUACACCGAGGCUCCCAAGUACUACAUCACUAAAGCACCGGAGUUUUAUACAACAACUUUCGCUGCCCCGAGUCACUAUACUGACGCCCUGAAGUAUUACUCUGCCCCGAGUUACUACACCACCAAGGCGACGGAGUACUACACGACUACGUAUGCUGCCCCUGCCUACUACACCGAGGCCCCGCAUUACUACAACACCGAAGCGUUCAAGUACUACACUACAACCUGCGCUGCCCCGAGCUAUUACACCUACGUCCCGAAUUAUUACUGUGCGUAAAGGAGUCGUCAAAAAAAGAAGUCGUGCCCGAACUGCAGUGCAUUAUCUGUCAACAACUGCAUUCCUCCAACCAUUCGCAAUUAUGGGCGUCGUAUGCUGUUGGGUGUUGUAUCGUUGAUAGUUGGGUCGACCACUGGUGUACCGAUGUCUCCUGGGCAUGGCGCAAACCAAUCCGCAACGCCACCGCCUUCCUACACAACUUACGCAACGACCGGUUCCUGCACUGAGGUCUUCCAGUACUACACCACUGAAGCACCGGAGUUUUAUAUCACAACUUACGCUGCCCCGAGCCACUACACUGACGCCGUGAAGUAUAACUCUGCCCCGAGUUACUACACCAUCUAGGCGACGGAGUACUACAUGACUACGUAUGCUGCCUAUCCUACUACACCCAGGCUCCUAAGUUCCCGCUUAUUACUCCACCAAAACAGCCGAGUACUACACCGAAGUACUACUCUACCCCAAUCUACACAACGCAGUCCCGACUUGCUACGCAGAAGCUGCUCUUUCGUGCUACGUCGAAGUGAAACACAACACUGAUGCUCCAGUCUACUACACCACGACCUACGCUACACCUAGCUACAACACCGCAGCCCCAAGUACUACACCGAAAAAGCCGCCCAUUACACAACCACAGACGCUGCCUGGUAUAACACAUCGAGGAAUUUAAGUAUUACCCUGCUCCAAACUACUACCAUCUGAGGUUCAUAUGUAUUAAACCAGCCAUUCUCCCAACUAUGUCACCACUACUCAUGUUGCUCAUACCUAUACAUCGAAGUUCUGAAAUAUUUCUCUGGAUGUGUUGAAAGAUUGCUGAAAUACAAGUUUGAUUGAUAAA